AUUGAACGCUGGCGGCAUGCUUUACACAUGCAAGUCGGACGGCAGCGGGGUAGUGCUUGCACUACUGCCGGCGAGUAGCGAACGGGUGAGUAAUAUAUUGGAACGUACCGAGUAAUGGGGGAUAACCAAUCGAAAGAUUGGCUAAUACCGCAUACGCUCUGAGGAGGAAAGCAGGGGACCUUCGGGCCUUGCGUUAUUCGAGCGGCCAAUAUCUGAUUAGCUAGUUGGUGGGGUAAGGGCCUACCAAGGCGACGAUCAGUAGCGGGUCUGAGAGGAUGAUCCGCCACACUGGGACUGAGACACGGCCCAGACUCCUACGGGGGGCAGCAGUGGGGAAUUUUGGACAAUGGGCGCAAGCCUGAUCCAGCCAUGCCGCGUGUCUGAAGAAGGCCUUCGGGUUGUAAAGGACUUUUGUUAGGGAAGAAAAAGGAGCGGUUAAUACCCGUUUCUGCUGACGGUACCUAAAGAAUAAGCACCGGCUAACUACGUG
RNAcentral lists this ribosomal RNA (490 nucleotides) under uncultured bacterium. Its description in RNAcentral is "partial 16S ribosomal RNA". It matches the Rfam family "Bacterial small subunit ribosomal RNA", at positions 30 to 507 of the family's 1533-position model. The record is from RNAcentral.